This 820-nucleotide ribosomal RNA is filed under the name uncultured bacterium. RNAcentral describes it as "bacterial SSU rRNA". It matches the Rfam family "Bacterial small subunit ribosomal RNA", at positions 8 to 823 of the family's 1533-position model. The record is from RNAcentral.
AGAGUUUGAUCAUGGCUCAGAUUGAACGCUGGCGGCAGGCUUAACACAUGCAAGUCGAGCGGAAACGAUGGGAGCUUGCUCCCAGGCGUCGAGCGGCGGACGGGUGAGUAAUACUUAGGAAUCUGCCCAGUAGUGGGGGAUAGCUCGGGGAAACUCGAAUUAAUACCGCAUACACCCUACGGGGAAAAGGGGGCGCUUGCGCUCUCGCUAUUGGAUGAGCCUAAGUCGGAUUAGCUAGUUGGUGGGGUAAAGGCCUACCAAGGCGACGAUCUGUAGCUGGUCUGAGAGGAUGAUCAGCCACAUCGGGACUGAGACACGGCCCGGACUCCUACGGGAGGCAGCAGUGGGGAAUAUUGGACAAUGGGGGCAACCCUGAUCCAGCCAUGCCGCGUGUGUGAAGAAGGCCUUUUGGUUGUAAAGCACUUUAAGCAGUGAAGAAGACCUAACGGUUAAUACCCGUUAGCGAUGACAUUAGCCGCAGAAUAAGCACCGGCUAACUCUGUGCCAGCAGCCGCGGUAAUACAGAGGGUGCAAGCGUUAAUCGGAAUUACUGGGCGUAAAGCGAGCGUAGGUGGCUUGAUAAGUCAGAUGUGAAAUCCCCGGGCUUAACCUGGGAACUGCAUCUGAUACUGUUAGGCUAGAGUAGGUGAGAGGGAGGUAGAAUUUCAGGUGUAGCGGUGAAAUGCGUAGAGAUCUGAAGGAAUACCGAUGGCGAAGGCAGCCUCCUGGCAUCAUACUGACACUGAGGUUCGAAAGCGUGGGUAGCAAACAGGAUUAGAUACCCUGGUAGUCCACGCCGUAAACGAUGUCUACUAGUCGU